UCUGUCUUGUAGAAGAAUAGAGCCCUGAAAUUGCCACAAUAGUGUUUUACAUUGUUUUUGAAUUAGGUUUUAAGGAUUUUUAUUUGCUCAGUUGUGUGUGUGUGUGUGUGUGUGUGUGUGAAGCACAUAUGUAUUUGAAUGUCUUAAUCUCUUAUUUUCUUUGGAGGGUCCUUAAUUUAUUUUACACUGAAUUUUUUCUCCAUCUUCAGAGUGUAUGGCACAUACCCCUAUUCCCUUCUGUUCCAGUACUAUAUUUCGUACAGUUUCCUGCAAAUAGCAGUAGAUACGGGCUGGCUGGUUCAGUGCUCUUGCAGUAUUUACAAUGGACGUUUCUCAGCAUAACUAAUCUCUUUUGAAAAUUUUGGUCCCAUUCUCAUCAGCCCCAAUCCGGUGCUUUGAAAUGAAUUGAAAUGCUGUGCAUUUCAUACGGGAUGAGGAUUAAAGCUUUAACUGGGUCUAGAGAUGAGGUGAGGGAGAAAAAGCCCCCACAAAUCUGGUAGUUUUUUUCUCCUGAGCAGUGAAGAGCAAUGAGCUGUACUCUAGAAAAGAAAGGAAACAGUAAUUAGGAGCCUUUCCCCUACAUUGUACACCGUCUUUGGUUUAGAGCAAAGUAGAAGCCGACCGGUUUUUUAGUUCUGUAGCAUAUUUAAGUAAGGAUUGGAUUUAUAAGCAUCAAGAAGCAGAGGUCUUCAUUCAGGGUUCCUUCCCCACCUCCCCCAGUUUCUAACAGGUUGCAUUUCACCCUUUCAAACACCUCAAAAGCUACCAGAUUAUUGUUAAAUAAACAAAUUUUGGGAGACUACUGACCAUUAGCCAAAGGGAAGGUCCUGAGUCAUCCAAGUGUUCUCCAGCUAGCGAAGAAGUAUGAAAAAGCUCCUGGCCAGAUCUGUACAUGCUGGAGCAUCCGGCUUAUGUCUUUCAGUUUUGUAUGGAAAUGUUCCCUGGAUUCAUAAAAUACUUAAGGACUACAUAAAGAAGAAAGACUCAGGAAUCAAAGGAAAGUCACCUAACAUAACUUCUGUGGGGUGUAUUCAGGAAAGCAGACUCCAUCAAAAGCCCAGGGUUAAAUUCAUCAGCACUGCUUUCUCAGCAUGUUUUGAUUUCCUACUGAAUGCAGUGAGUGCAGGAACCUUGGGCAGCAAACAUUUAAGGAUUUCGUCUGGGCAGGCACUGAUCUUAAAGUUCUGACCUCCAACAGUGUCAGGCAGGUUGCCUUGGUAAACUGUAAAGUGAAACUUUGAAGAUACAACUGCAACUUAAAUGUUCACACGUUUACUAAUUGCUUGAAUAUUUUCAGAGAAAAAAAUGAAUGCUACUUAUUUUUCAGAAUAGGGUGUGAUACUAUACCAAAAUUCACAAAAUGUGAAAGAUAGAUAGAUAUGGAAGGCUACAGAAGAAACUAGAAACUGUGGUUGCUUUUGAGGAAAAGAAUGAGGGCCUAGCAGCCAGAGAUACUUUGCACAGUUUAUAAUAUUGUAAUAUUUUAAUUUCUUUCCUUGUACAUAUAUAGCUUUUUUAAAAGAAUGAGAAGUGCUUUACAAAUGCAGAUAUUUUCACUGUGAAGUCUUUAUUUCCAUAAUACUAAAAGUAAAUGCCUGGUCAAUAGAUUCUGAGCUGUAGCCAUGAUAUCCCUUGAUUUUGUUUACCUGGUAACACUAGCUCAUGUCUGUAAAGUCUUUAAAACUCCCCAAAUUAUUUCACCUAUAUUACCUAAUUUGUAAGAUCACUUUAUUAUUUAUUACUAUUUAUUACUAUUUAUUACUAUUUAUUACUUACUCUUCUCAUUUUCUUCUCUUAGUAUGUGAUUAUCACAUUGCAUUGCAGUGGUUUUGUUCCCUUGUACCACACACAAAAACCACGAUGCUGUUUUCUUCAGUAGUUUCUAAUGAAGGUCUAUUUGACACUUUAAUACUUUCUUCCCUAAUUAUUGGACCAAGCUGUAACAGAAUUAUAAAGCUCGGGCUAUCAGAACAGAAACUAUCAGAACACCCAGGUGUUUAUCUUGAGAGCCAUAUAGCAUUCCAUCGGGAUUCUGUUUGAUGUUACUUUUGUCUUAUCCCACUGGGCCCAACUCAGAGCGUUCAACGGCGGACUCUAAGGGUAAAUUAAAAUACUAGUCAAAAUUAGUGCUCGCUUCGGCAGCACAUAUACUAAAAUUGGAACGAUACAGAGAAGAUUAGCAUGGCCCCUGCGCAAGGAUGACACGCAAAUUCGUGAAGCGUUCCAUAUUUUUCAGCCGUUUGUAAAGCAGCUAUUAUAGCUGACUGUUCUACCUUCCGAGUGGACACUGCUGUUAUCAAGCAGAGAGUGCCGAUCUUACUCAAGUACCUAGACUCAGAUACAGAGAAGGAACUGCAAGCACUUUAUGCACUACAAGCAUCAAUAGUAAAACUUGAUCAACCUGCCAAUUUGCUACGAAUGUUUUUUGAUUGCCUAUACGAUGAGGAGGUGAUCUCCGAGGAUGCCUUCUACAAAUGGGAAAGCAGCAAGGACCCUGCAGAGCAGAAUGGGAAGGGUGUGGCUCUGAAAUCUGUCACUGCGUUCUUCACAUGGCUGCGGGAAGCUGAAGAGGAGUCUGAGGAUAACUAAAGCUUCAAAUACACAAAACGAAACAAAAGAAACAAUUUAAGUAUUUUUUUAAAAAGUUUCACGUCUUCACCAAUCACAGUGCAGCAAGGCCAAUUCUCGCAGAAAUCCCCACGUGUGCACGAGUGGGAGAGGGGAAAGAGAAAAAAAGGUGAUCAUGGAGGAAAAAGGUACUGGAAAAAAGUAAACUUCAAACCUGAGGGCGGGAGCACUAAAACCAAAAUACAUGUAUUAUUUAUAGAAAA
Zalophus californianus (California sea lion) is the source of this 2831-nucleotide long non-coding RNA. RefSeq lists it as uncharacterized. The record is from RefSeq and is a predicted model, not a curated record. The transcript has 3 exons. NCBI's taxonomy places the organism in Eukaryota, Metazoa, Chordata, Mammalia, Carnivora, Otariidae.